GAACGAACGAUGGUGUCCUGCCUAACAAAAACAAGUCGAACGCAUGUAGCAAUACAAGAGUGGCGCACGGGUGUCCAACGCGUGGGAACAUGCCCUGGAGUGGGGGAUAACCCGGCGAAAGCCGGGCUAAUACCGCAUACGUCCUGAGGGAGAAAGAUUUAUCGCUCUAGGAGGGGCCCGUGUCGGAUUAGCUAGUUGGUGAGGUAACGGCUCACCAAGGCGACGAUCCGUAGCUGGUCUGAGAGGAUGAUCAGCCACACUGGGACUGAGACACGGCCCAGACUCCUACGGGAGGCAGCAGUGGG
This 305-nucleotide ribosomal RNA is filed under the name uncultured Alphaproteobacteria bacterium. Its description in RNAcentral is "bacterial SSU rRNA". It matches the Rfam family "Bacterial small subunit ribosomal RNA", at positions 27 to 358 of the family's 1533-position model. Lineage: Bacteria; Pseudomonadati; Pseudomonadota; Alphaproteobacteria. The record is from RNAcentral.